GACCCAGCUUAACAAGAAGGAAUGUUGCGUAGACCAGGAAUGCUGGACCAUGUGGAGGCUGAAGGAACAGUUAGAAAAGAGGGCCCACGGUUGGAAAUAAAGUCGGAAUAAUCCUGAGCAUCCAGGUAAUUAACUUCGGAGCUAAUGAUAUGUCCAACAAAUGCAAGAUGCCAUGCCGAAAUGUGAUUUGAGGAAGAGUCAAGAGAAUUCAGCAUUUCUGCAUAUAGAAACUUACAGAUUCAAGAAGGGGAACAACAGGAGCCAGCCCCGUGGUGUAGUGGUUCAGUUCAGCAUGCUCUGCUUCAGCGGCUUGGGUUCCCAGGUUUGGAUCCCAGGUACGGACCUCCACCACCCUCAGCCAUGCUGAUGCAGUGACCCACAUCCAAAACAGAGGAAGACUGGCACAGAUGUUAGCUCAGGGCUAAUCUUCCUCAGCAAAA
Molecule: long non-coding RNA, 440 nt
Organism: Equus quagga
Lineage: Eukaryota; Metazoa; Chordata; Mammalia; Perissodactyla; Equidae
Exons: 3
Source: RefSeq, a predicted model, not a curated record